AAACCGCGAAUGGCUCAUUAUAUCAGUUAUGGUUCCUUAGAUCGCACUUACUACUUGGAUAACUGUGGUAAUUCUAGAGCUAAUACAUGCGUUGAGCUCCAACCCUCGUGGACGGAGCGCUUUUAUUAGAUCAAAGCCAAUCGGACUCUCGGGUUCGUAUUGUUGGUGACUCUGAAUAACUUUGCUGAUCGCACGGUCUCGUACCGGCGACGUAUCUUUCAAGUGUCUGCCUUAUCAACUGUCGAUGGUAGGUUAUGCGCCUACCAUGGUUGUAACGGGUAACGGGGAAUCAGGGUUCGAUUCCGGAGAGGGAGCCUGAGAAACGGCUACCACAUCCAAGGAAGGCAGCAGGCGCGCAAAUUACCCACUCCCGGCACGGGGAGGUAGUGACGAAAAAUAACGAUACGGAACUCAUACGAGGCUCCGUAAUCGGAAUGAGUACACUUUAAAUCCUUUAACGAGGAUCUAUUGGAGGGCAAGUCUGGUGCCAGCAGCCGCGGUAAUUCCAGCUCCAAUAGCGUAUAUUAAAGUUGUUGUGGUUAAAAAGCUCGUAGUUGGAUCUCGGUUUCAGGCGGGCGGUCCACCUUGCGGUGUUUACUGUCUGCUUGGACGAUUUUCUCGGUUCGUUCAUGGUUCUCUUAACCGAGUGCCUUGGGUGGCCGACACGUUUACUUUGAAAAAAUUGGAGUGCUCAAAGCAGGCGCUACAGCCUGAACAUUAGUGCAUGGAAUAAUAAAAUAGGAUCUCGGUUCUAUUUCGUUGGCUUUCGGAGUCGAGGUAAUGAUUAAUAGGGACAGACGGGGGCAUUCGUACUGCGACGUUAGAGGUGAAAUUCUUGGAUCGUCGCAAGACGAACUACUGCGAAAGCAUUUGCCAAGAAUGUUUUCAUUAAUCAAGAACGAAAGUUAGAGGUUCGAAGGCGAUCAGAUACCGCCCUAGUUCUAACCAUAAACGAUGUCGACCGGCGAUCCGUCGUCGUUAAUUUAAUGACUCGACGGGCAGCCUCCGGGAAACCAGAGGGUUUGGAUUCCAGGGGGAG
This 1039-nucleotide ribosomal RNA is filed under the name Pseudachorutes sp. Its description in RNAcentral is "SSU rRNA". It matches the Rfam family "Eukaryotic small subunit ribosomal RNA", at positions 84 to 1123 of the family's 1831-position model. Lineage: Eukaryota; Metazoa; Arthropoda; Collembola; Poduromorpha; Neanuridae. The record is from RNAcentral.